UACGUAGGGACCGAGCGUUGUCCGGAAUCAUUGGGCGUAAAGAGCGUGUAGGCGGCCUUUUAAGUCCUGCGUGAAAUCCUGCGGCUCAACCGCAGACGGUCGUGGGAAACUGGAAGGCUAGAGUGCGGGAGAGGAGAGUGGAAUUCCCGGUGUAGCGGUGAAAUGCGCAGAUAUCAGGAGGAACACCAAUGGCGAAGGCAGCUCGCUGGAACGGUACUGACGCUGAGGCGCGAAAGCGUGGGGAGCGAACAGG
This 253-nucleotide ribosomal RNA is filed under the name uncultured bacterium. RNAcentral's name for it is "partial 16S ribosomal RNA". It matches the Rfam family "Bacterial small subunit ribosomal RNA", at positions 524 to 776 of the family's 1533-position model. The record is from RNAcentral.